UACGGAGGAUCCGAGCGUUAUCCGGAUUUAUUGGGUUUAAAGGGAGCGUAGAUGGGUUGUUAAGUCAGUUGUGAAAGUUUGCGGCUCAACCGUAAAAUUGCAAUUGAUACUGGCAGUCUUGAGUACAGUUGAGGUAGGCGGAAUUCGUGGUGUAGCGGUGAAAUGCUUAGAUAUCACGAAGAACUCCGAUUGCGAAGGCAGCUUACUAAACUGCCACUGACAUUGAUGCUCGAAAGUGUGGGUAUCAAACAGG
This 253-nucleotide non-coding RNA is filed under the name uncultured bacterium. Its description in RNAcentral is "partial 16S ribosomal RNA". It matches the Rfam family "Bacterial small subunit ribosomal RNA", at positions 524 to 776 of the family's 1533-position model. RNAcentral also lists the same sequence under 1 other name. The record is from RNAcentral.